AGUUCAGAUUGCAGGCUGCAACUCGCCUGCAUGAAGUUGGAAUUGCUAGUAAUCGCGAAUCAGAAUGUCGCGGUGAAUACGUUCCCGGGCCUUGUACACACCGCCCGUCACACCAUGGGAGCCGGUAAUACCCGAAGUCAGUAGUCCAACCUCGUGAGGACGCUGCCGAAGGUAGGAUUGGCGACUGGGGUGAAGUCGUAACAAGGUAGC
Molecule: ribosomal RNA, 210 nt
Filed under: uncultured bacterium
Lineage: Bacteria
Description: partial 16S ribosomal RNA
Rfam family: Bacterial small subunit ribosomal RNA
Source: RNAcentral